AUCGAGCCCCAGUACAGCCCAGUACAGCCCAGUACAGCCCAGUGCCACCAGUUCUAUCCCAGUACAGCCCAGUACAGCCCAGUGCCACCAGUUCUAUCCCAGUACAGCCCAGUACAGCCCAGUGCCACCAGUUCUAUCCCAGUACAGCCCAGUACAGCCCAGUGCCACCAGUUCUAUCCCAGUCUAUCCCAGUACCAGCCAGUACAGCCCAUUGCCACAGUUCUAUCCCAGCUAGCAGCCAGUACAGGCCCAUUGCCACCAGUUCUUCCCCAGACAAGCCAGUUACAGUACAGCCCAGUGCCACCCAGUCAUAUUCCCAGUACAGGCCCAGUGCUCCCAGUUCAUAUUCCAGUAACAGUCCAGUACAGCCCAGUGCUCCCAGUGUGCCACCAGUCUUUAUCCAGUACAGCCCAGUGCCCCGUCCAGUUCCCUCCCAGUCCUUCCCAGUAUGUCCCAGUCCCUCCAGUAUGUCUCAGUCCCUCCCAGUGCUCAGGAGGACCCUCUUGAGGGUCCUUUCUCCAGUGCCCCCAGCCCGGUGCCCCCAUCCAU
This is a long non-coding RNA of Coturnix japonica (Japanese quail), 549 nucleotides long. NCBI's taxonomy places the organism in Eukaryota, Metazoa, Chordata, Aves, Galliformes, Phasianidae. The record is from Ensembl.